AUUGAACGCUGGCGGCAUGCCUUACACAUGCAAGUCGAACGGCAGCACGGGAGCAAUCCUGGUGGCGAGUGGCGAACGGGUGAGUAAAGUAUCGGAACGUGCCCAGUCGUGGGGGAUAACGUAGCGAAAGUUACGCUAAUACCGCAUACGAGCUAUGGAUGAAAGCGGGGGAUCGCAAGACCUUGCACGAUUGGAGCGGCCGAUAUCAGAUUAGGUAGUUGGUGGGGUAAAGGCUCACCAAGCCGACGAUCUGUAGCUGGUCUGAGAGGACGACCAGCCACACUGGGACUGAGACACGGCCCAGCCUCCUACGGGAGGCAGCAGUGGGGAAUUUUGGACAAUGGGCGAAAGCCUGAUCCAGCCAUGCCGCGUGCAGGAUGAAGGCCUUCGGGUUGUAAACUGCUUUUGUACGGAACGAAAAGGUUUGGCCUAAUAAGCUGAGCUCAUGACGGUACCGUAAGAAUAAGCACCGGCUAACUACGUGCCAGCAGCCGCCGUAA
RNAcentral lists this ribosomal RNA (500 nucleotides) under uncultured bacterium. RNAcentral's name for it is "partial 16S ribosomal RNA". It matches the Rfam family "Bacterial small subunit ribosomal RNA", at positions 30 to 523 of the family's 1533-position model. The record is from RNAcentral.